UGCUAGGCAAGCGCUCUACCACUGAGCUAAAUCCCCAACCCCCAGGAGGAUGGUUUUAUGUUCCUGCCCAGGCACCAUUCUGCCCAUUGAUCUUAGUUUUCUUCGUGAAGUGUAUAGAAGCUGCAAAUACAGGUGGGUCUGAUUGUAAAUCACCCCCAGAAGCAACUCCAUCACUCCUGACUGAUGUGAUUGAAGCCCUUGGCGUUGAUGGUGACAACUGUCUGACCCUAAACCUAUGAGAAGGAGAACUUUGCUGUUUCCGGUUAACCCGGUGCUGUUCCUUUUGACAGACAGGAAGCAGAGACGGCGCGUAGGGGAGGGGUGCUGACCCAGGACUCCUGGGCCCAAGUUGGCAGCAGGAGGAAAGGAACAGGGACAGUAGGUGUGGGGGAUUCUCUGAGGAUCCUCUGCUGUGACUGGAGUCCUGUCUUAAGGAUUAGAGUCCCAGUAAAAGUCACCUCAGAUUGUUUAACGUACCUUCGGGCUCCCGGUGCUUCCAACCUUUAAGCCCCCUCCUCCCUGCCACUUAGAGGGCAAGUCUGCAGACAGGACAUCCAGCCAGAACUCGCCUGCCUCACUGAGAGGGCAUACCUGCCCUAGAAAACAUUCUGAGAGUUGCCAUGGUGCACAGAGCUGAGAAGCCUCUUUUGCCCUCCCCUUCCCAAGAGCGGCGGCAUCUUGAUGAAAAUAUUUCUGCUCCAGUCUCUGCAAUUCAGCCUUCGAAGUCAGCGCGUCAUAAAAAAGGGCAACUUCCUCACAAAAUGAACCCACUCAGCGAUUGCUCCUUCUGGGAAUUUGCUUUUGUUCCUCGGAGUCACUUUAUCUGGAACUUCAAUUUUUGGAUCACAUCUGUCGCUGAGGAUUUUUCAGCGCAAGAACUUUGGCAAAAUGAUCUGUUUUAUUAAAGUGUGUCAUUGGGUUGGGACCCAGUCCCUGAGACUUGACAGCUUUCACGUGGCACCUUCUUCCCAGCAUGGACCUUCACAG
Molecule: long non-coding RNA, 987 nt
Filed under: Rattus norvegicus (Norway rat)
Lineage: Eukaryota; Metazoa; Chordata; Mammalia; Rodentia; Muridae
Description: long non-coding RNA NONRATT031821
Source: RNAcentral